UGAGGCUGGGUCGCGAAUUCCGUCUCCGCAGACCGAGGGGGCGGGCCCCGCUGCGGCGCCAGCUUGUGAGGGUCGCCGGGGUCACCUGGGUCACCUCAGCCCGAGGGUCCUGCAGGCUCCGCGCCUCCUGUCCUGACCCCUGCUGCCCUGUCCUCCGUAGAAAGGCGGCCCCCGUGACGAUAAGAGCUCACGGGAGAAUGCCUGGAACCGCACGAAGAACCUGCGGAACAGUCAGGCCUGAACCCAGGACCUUGCUCCGGGCCCCGCUCGCCGCCGCACCCCCCUCCGCCGUGGCCCUGGACUACCCUCGGGAGGUUCGUAAAUGUCCCUCACCUAAGGACUUUGGGGGCCCUGCCACAAGCCACUCCCGAUCCAGUGAGGAAGGCCCAUUCGACAGCAUCCACUGCGCUCCCACUGGGUGCUGGGCACUGUGCAGGGGCCGGGGGACCAUGGCAGUGCCCACUGGGACCCAGCAGGAAGAGGGACUCGGCCUUCCACGGACUUGACCUUGCCCGUGGAUACCACUCUACUACUACAGCCUGAGGAAGGGAGCUGGUCUCAUGACCUCCCCGCCCCCACACACAACGGCUCCCUCCACCGAUGGGAAGCCACCACACUUCCGGUCCCGGUUCACCCCACUGGACUUCUAGUUCAUAACAGCACUCCCAACCACCUACUCCUUCCCUCCUUAAAAAAGCACGCCUCUCCUUUGUUCCUCA
Molecule: non-coding RNA, 719 nt
Organism: Leptonychotes weddellii (Weddell seal)
Lineage: Eukaryota; Metazoa; Chordata; Mammalia; Carnivora; Phocidae
Source: RefSeq, a predicted model, not a curated record